AUUCAUUAUAGUUUUCACAUGAAGUCUAUUUUUGUUGAAGUUAUCAACUGUUCACUGAUGGAGAAUUGAGUGCAAAACUGUUUGUGGCAAUCGCAUUCCUAAUACUAUCAUAGCAAUUGCAGUCCUAAGCCAUCGUAAUAAAACUGUUCAUAUCAAUUGCAGUCCAAAGCCAUCUUCAUGGUUUCUAAGUGGUACUGUCCACAGUAAUCUCAUGUAACUUUAGGCUGUCAAUUUUCAGCAAAUGACCCCGGUGUGAGAAAAUAACAGCGUGGAUCUGUUUAAACUGGGAUUUUUUAAAGAGCAUUUUUCUUUGGUUUCUGUCACGAGCUGUUUUAAGGUUUUUAAUGGACUAUACUUUCAAGCGGCAUUUUAUUUUUUACACUUUAGAUGUACUUUGACCAGUAUUACUCUUUUUUUUAAACAAUAUUAAUAUGAAUUUGAUUAAACUAGCAGAAAACCACAAUCAGACAUGCCUCCCUGACAACCAGUCAUCUUUCGCCCAAUGCACAGCACCUAAGAUACGCAUGUGUAGUUAGCUUGUGGGAGGACUGCGUGCUAGCAUGUUUCUGCAUGCAGAGAUCUCCCUCUCUGUGUCUCUCUGUGCAUAGUUUAUCCGUGAUCCCCCUCUCUGUGUCUCUGCAUGCCAUGUUUACACAUGAUCCCUUUUAUGAAUUCUAUGGCAUCGUGCCCCUCCUCACAGAGCCAGGGAACCCUGAGGACAUCGCUUUUGAGGUCAUCUGUCCUUCUAUUCCUGUCACGGGUUUUCUGAGGCACCACAUAAAAAAACAGGUUCUCUUGAAGCCCAGAUUCUAAGGAUGAAAAGCAUCCCCAAAGCACGAUGCUGCCACCACCAUAUUUCAUUGUAGGGAUCAUGUUAAUUGAGGUUUGGCUAUUUUCUCCAAUGAGCUGGUGCACACUCCAGAACUGUGGGCCAGGCAGAAGUACCAAAAACUUGUGAGCUACACUGAUACCAAGAGGAGGCCAUUGGAAGAACCAGAGUUAAUGGCCCAAGAUUUUCAGAAGUUUGUCAAGAUUGUAAAGAUUGCAGCCUGCGGGAGGAUCUCGGCACCGAGGAAGUGUGGUGCUGGAGCGGUUGGAGUCGGAGCGGAGGAGUUGCUGCUGUCGGCCUGAAAAGGGGAGGAGCCGUAGCCGUCCGCCAGGAGGCGGAGGUGCGGCUGCCGUCCGCCUGAAAAGGGGAGGAAUGGCUGUCGUUCGCAUGGGGACGGAGGACCUGCUGCCAUCUGCUGGGAGGCGGAGGUUGUGUAAUUUGUGAACUUAAAUACACCCUGUUACAAAUAUGUGAAUAUAAAAUAUAAGUUUGAGACUCUAUGUCAGUUAAGUUAGUUAUUAUCACUUGUAAUGUAAAAGGAGUUAAUAGUCCUAUGAAAAUAACAAAAAUUUUAAGUUAUUUGAAAUAUCAUGAGAUAUAGCACUUCUCCAAGAAACCCAUCUCACAGAUAAGGAAAUUGGAUUGAGAGAAUGGAUUGGAAAUGUUUUUUUUCCUCCUACAAUUCAAAAUCACAUGGGGUAUAUAAUUUAAUAAACAUUUAUAUUUGAAAACAAGACAUAAUAAAAAGGACAGCUUUAGAAGACAAGUAAUUGUCUUCCAAAUAAUAGUUAUACUUUUAUUAAUAUAUAUGGGCCUAAUCAAGAUGAUCCAAUUUUUUUUUCCCAACAAAUGGCCCUUACAGUGUCCCAGUAUGCUAACUGUAUUAUAGGGGGAGAUUUCAAUUUGGCUCUUGAACCUGCAAUAGAUCAUUAAAAGGACAGUGAGUCUCAUAAGAGAUCAAUUAGUAUAUUGAAGCAAGGCAUGGUGGAUAAUGGAUUGAUGGAAAUAUAGAGAAAAUUACAUCCAGUAGACAAGGAAUAUUUGUUUUACUCAAAGGCCCAUAAAUCAUAUCGACAAAUUGAUAAUUUUUUAAUUAAAAAAAAUUUGGCUGCAGAAGUGAAUGAAUGUGAUUAUAUGGCGGCUUUUACUGACUAUUGUCCAUUGUGGUUGCAGACAAAAACAAAACAAAUAUUACAAAAAAUAUUACUACUUGGCAUUUUAAACUUUAAUUAUUAAAUGAUCCAGACUUUAUUAAGACACAUGAAAAAGAAAUUGAGAUAUUUUUAGAAUUAAUGUGGGUACAGCUUCUCAUAGGAUAAUUUGUGACUGUAUUAAAGCAUAUUUGAGAGGGAAAAUUAUUUCCUAAUAGUCCUAUAAAUGGAAACAGAAAAGACAGAGUCUUGAUAAAUAAGAAAAAGGGAUUGAUGAUUUAGAGAAAGAAUGUGCUAACUGGUCUAUUAAUAAUAAAAAUGAAGUACUGAAUAAUUUAACACAAAAAAAAAAAGAGUAGAAUAUAAUAAUUUAACCACUCAACGAGCAGAAGCUCAAACAAAAUAUCACUAUUAUUUGGCAAAAAAAAG
Molecule: long non-coding RNA, 2409 nt
Organism: Pangasianodon hypophthalmus (striped catfish)
Lineage: Eukaryota; Metazoa; Chordata; Actinopteri; Siluriformes; Pangasiidae
Exons: 4
Source: RefSeq, a predicted model, not a curated record